Molecule: ribosomal RNA, 253 nt
Filed under: uncultured bacterium
Lineage: Bacteria
Description: partial 16S ribosomal RNA
Rfam family: Bacterial small subunit ribosomal RNA
Source: RNAcentral
UACGGAGGGAGCUAGCAUUGUUCGGAAUUACUGGGCGUAAAGAGCACGUAGGCGGUUACUCGCGUUAGAGGUGAAAUUCCAGAGCUCAACUCUGGAACUGCCUUUGAUACGGGGUAACUAGAAUAUUAGAGAGGAUAGCGGAAUUCCGAGUGUAGAGGUGAAAUUCACAGAUAUUCGGAGGAACACCAGUGGCGAAGGCGGCUAUCUGGCUAAUAAUUGACGCUGAGGUGCGAAAGCGUGGGUAGCGAACAGG